Cinara cedri is the source of this 668-nucleotide non-coding RNA. The record is from the annotation of a GenBank genome assembly. Lineage: Eukaryota; Metazoa; Arthropoda; Insecta; Hemiptera; Aphididae.
UCCGGGAAAAUGUUAAAUCUAUUAUGUAGCAAAUAGUAUUAAAAUCUACUUUUAUCGUUGAACACACACUGCAGCAAUGAUCGUCGUAAAGUCUGCAAUUAAAUAAUUUAGAACGUAAUGAGCUCGGGUGCAGCAAUUUACGACGAGGAAUUAAUAUCGUAUUGUAUUUUGCGCAGUUUUGAUUGUAACGAAUUCGUGUAUAAAUUUCCCGUGUAAAGUACCCGUUGAAAUCAUAAAACAAAAAUAAAUUACACCGCAACACAAUAAAACGUUUUAAUAAAAUAAUAAUAAAGUAAAAACAAAAUUAUGAAUUGGUUAAUACUCGUAAAUAAAUAUAUGAAUAAAUAAACUAACUAAUUAAUGCGUUGCUUGAAGUAAAUGUGUAUUAUAAAAAAUAUAUGAAGAAAUAAACCAACUAAUUAAUGCGUUGCUUGGAGUAAAUGUGUAUUAUAAAAAACGACUACACAUUUUAACACAUGAAAGUACUAGACAAAAUAAAAAAAGGACUGAUACUGAAGACGGAGCGGCCCCUGUCGUAGCUUGAUGGUUGGAAAGGUGGGGUACAUUAAGUUAUUUAAUUUAUACCUGUAAACAACGAUAAACCACCGUUAACGAGAAAUAAUUCGGGGCGAAAUUCGGUUUUACAUAUUUUUAAAAGCCGAAAUAUU